GUGUCAGCAGCCGCGGUAAGACGAACCGUGCGAACGUUAUUCGGAAUCACUGGGCUUAAAGCGCGUGUAGGCGGAUGGGAACGUCGGCCUCUGAAAUCCCCCGGCUCAACCGGGGAAGUGGAGCCGAAACGACCCGUCUCGAGGAGCAUAGGGGGACCUGGAACUUCCGGUGGAGCGGUGAAAUGCGUUGAGAUCGGAAGGAACGCCCGUGGCGAAAGCGAGGUCCUGGAUGUUUACUGACGCUGAGACGCGAAAGCCAGGGGAGCGAACGGGAUUAGAUACCCCCGUAGUCC
RNAcentral lists this ribosomal RNA (293 nucleotides) under uncultured bacterium. RNAcentral's name for it is "partial 16S ribosomal RNA". It matches the Rfam family "Bacterial small subunit ribosomal RNA", at positions 505 to 796 of the family's 1533-position model. The record is from RNAcentral.